Molecule: ribosomal RNA, 532 nt
Filed under: uncultured bacterium
Lineage: Bacteria
Description: bacterial SSU rRNA
Rfam family: Bacterial small subunit ribosomal RNA
Source: RNAcentral
CGGCCGCGUCGACGAUGAACGCUGGCGGCGUGCCUAACACAUGCAAGUCGAACGAAGCACCUGAACGGAUUUCUUCGGAUUGAAGUUCUUGUGACUGAGUGGCGGACGGGUGAGUAACGCGUGGGUAACCUGCCUCAUACAGGGGGGGAUAACAGUUAGAAAUGACUGCUAAUACCGCAUAAGCGCACAGCUUCGCAUGAAGCAGUGUGAAAAACUCCGGUGGUAUGAGAUGGGCCCGCGGCGCAUUAGCUAGUUGGUGAGGUAACGGCUCACCAAGGCGACGAUGCGUAGCCGACCUGACGAGGGUGAUCGGCCACACUGGGACUGAGUACACGGCCCAGACUCCUACGGGAGGCAGCAGUGGGAAUCUCACAUGGACGAAAGUCUGAUGGAGCAACGCGCGUGAGCGAGUGAAGGUUUUCGGAUCGUAAAACGUCUGUUGUUAGAGAAGAACAAGGAUGAGAGUAACUGCUACAGUACCCCGUGACGGUAUCGUAAACCGAGAAACGGCCACGGUCUAACGUACGUACCG